UUUUGAAGAGUUUGAUCCUGGCUCAGAACGAACGCUGGCGGCGGGGUUUAGGCAUGCAAGUCGCACGAGAAAGGAGCAAUCCGAGUACAGUGGCGUAAGGGUGAGUAAUGGUUCGUCAACGUACCGAGCAGACGUGAAUAAUUUCCCGAAAGGGAUUGUAAUGCACGAUGAGACCACGGGGUGUACGCACUCUGGGGUCAAAGGUCGGGGAUCCUUCGGGACCCGGCGCUGUUUGAGCGGACGAACUCUGAUUAGCUAGUUGGCGGGGUAACGGCCCACCAAGGCUUUGAUCAGUAGCCGGGCUGAGAGGCUGUCCGGCCACACGGGCACUGAGAUACUGGCCCGACUCCUACGGGAGGCUGCAGUCGCGAAUUUUUCACAAUGGGCGCAAGCCUGAUGAAGCCACGCCGCGUGCGGGAUGAAGGCCCUCUGGGUUGUAAACCGCUGUCGAGGGAGGGGAACCGCUGGAUGUGAAUAGUAUCCAGUCUGACUGCUCUCUGAAGGAAGCCCCGGCAAAACAUGUGCCAGCAGCCGCGGUAAUACAUGUGGGGCAAGCGUUGUUCGGAAUUACUGGGCAUAAAGGGUGCGUAGGUGGUUUGUUAAGUCAGGGGUGAAAUCCCGCGGCCCAACCGUGGAACUGCCUUUGAUACUGGCGAACUUGAGUGCGUGAGGGGUAGGGGGAACGAGCAGUGUAGCGGUGAAAUGCGUAGAUAUUGCUCGGAAGGCCAGAGCCGAAGGGGCCCUACUGGUGCGCAACUGACACUGAGGCACGAAAGCGUGGGGAGCAAACAGGAUUAGAUACCCUGGUAGUCCACGCCGUAAACUAUGAACACUAGAUGGGUGUCGAGCUAUCGAUGCCUGUCGGAGACAAUUUGGUAAGUGUUCCGCCUGGGGAGUAUGGUCGCAAGGCUGAAACUCAAAGGAAUUGACGGGGGCUCACACAAGCGGUGGAGGAUGUGGUUUAAUUCGAAGCAACGCGCAGAACCUUACCAGGUCUUGACAUACCGGGAUUAUUCGUGUGAAAGCAUGAAAAUUCUCAGCAAUGAGGUAACCGGAACAGGUGCUGCAUGGCUGUCGUCAGCUCGUGCCGUGAGGUGUUAGGUUAAGUCCUUUAACGAGCGAAACCCCUACGAUUAGUUACCAGCGCGUCAUGGCGGGGACUCUAGUCGGACUGCCGCGCAAGCAGGAGGAAGGUGGGGACGACGUCAAGUCAUCAUGGCCUUUAUGACCUGGGCCACACACGUCCUACAAUGGGUACUACAAAGGGCCGCAAGCCUGCAAAGGCAAGCCAAUCCCCGAAAGGUACCCUCAGUUCAGAUUGUGGGCUGCAAUUCGCCCACAUGAAGCUGGAAUCGCUAGUAAUCGCGGAUCAGCUACGCCGCGGUGAAUUUGUUCCUGAGCCUUGUACACACCGCCCGUCAAGCCACCCGAAUUGGCCGCACCCGUAGUCGUAGUUCCAACCGCAAGGAGGGACGCGCCGAAGGUGAUGCCGGUAAGGGGGACUAAGUCGUAACAAGGUAGCCGUAUCGGAAGGUGCGGCUGGAUCACCUCCUUUCUAGGGA
Molecule: ribosomal RNA, 1562 nt
Filed under: Sphingosinicella sp.
Lineage: Bacteria; Pseudomonadati; Pseudomonadota; Alphaproteobacteria; Sphingomonadales; Sphingosinicellaceae
Description: bacterial SSU rRNA
Rfam family: Bacterial small subunit ribosomal RNA
Source: RNAcentral